Small nuclear RNA from Cynocephalus volans (Philippine flying lemur), 103 nucleotides. NCBI's taxonomy places the organism in Eukaryota, Metazoa, Chordata, Mammalia, Dermoptera, Cynocephalidae. The record is from RefSeq and is a predicted model, not a curated record.
CCACUUUAGCAGCACAUAUACUAAAACUGGAACAAUACAGAGAAGAUCAGCAUGGUCCCUGCAUAAGGAUGACAUGCAAAUGUUUGACGUGUUCCAUAUUUUU